CUGCGGGCACUGUUCCCGACCAUCGGCGCGCUGCGUACCGCGGUGCCGGGCGUGCCGGUCUCGCUGGCCCACCUGC
Molecule: transfer RNA, 76 nt
Filed under: Methylibium petroleiphilum PM1
Lineage: Bacteria; Pseudomonadati; Pseudomonadota; Betaproteobacteria; Burkholderiales; Sphaerotilaceae
Description: tRNA-Thr
Source: RNAcentral